This 1721-nucleotide long non-coding RNA is filed under the name Ananas comosus (pineapple). RNAcentral describes it as "long non-coding RNA (ACOM_LNC018723)". Lineage: Eukaryota; Viridiplantae; Streptophyta; Magnoliopsida; Poales; Bromeliaceae. The record is from RNAcentral.
GGCUUCGCCACAGAUUGGAUAAAAGAACAGUGAACAAUGUCAUUGAACAUUAUUAUUCGAAUAUGGAUCGAAUUCGUUAGCAUGAUAGUAAACCUUUGCUAUAUGAUGCAUGCAUUCAUUACAUAUGAUUAUGGGCAUAGUAGCAUAGCUUUCCUUUUUGCAUUAGUACACCUAUGUAUUGAGAGAGAUUCAUUGUAGGUGAGGAUUUGGAGAGCUAUGUAUUUUAGAUGAAAGAUGUAAUCAUUUAAAGAAAAUGAUAUAAAUGAAAAGGAUGAACUAUUGUAAUAGUUAGUAAAGUACUCUCUUUAUUUCACAUGUUAUUCCUGUGGAUUACUUGCUGUUGUAGUUGCUGGCACUAUUCGUGCUCCGUUGAAUGUGUAUAUUUAAAAUUUAAAUUCCUGAAAAAUUCUUGUACACAUUCUUAUUGUGGGUCUUCGGCGGACAGGGGAGGUGCUGUCCGUUCGGCGGUCUGCUUGCCGCGCCCGAAUCGUGCCAAAUCGGCAGCGGUUCCGGGGCGGGGCGUGACAUAAUUUUAAAAUUUAAAUUUUAAAUUUAAAUUUUGAUAUUUUAAUUUGAAAUUUAAAAUUUGAUAUUUAAUAUUUUUUAAAUUUAAAUUUGAUCUUAAAUUUAAAGUUUGAAAUUUAAAUUUUAAAAUUUUGAAUUUAAAAUUUGAGAUUUUAAAUUUCAAAGUUAAAAUUUUAAAUUUAAAAAUAUAUAUAUUUAAAAAUUUAAAAAUUUAAAUUCAAAUAUAAUAAGAGAAUAAUAUGAUUAUUUUUUAUUUAUAAAACCCACUAUCUUUCUUAUUCUGUCUUACCUAACCAAACGCUAUUUUUUUUAUUCUCAGGAAUAACCUAAUUUUCAUCCAAACGCAAAAUUGAUUUAACCCCUGCUUAUACCUCAAUUUANAUUUAAAAAUUUAAAAAUUUAAAUUCAAAUAUAAUAAGAGAAUAAUAUGAUUAUUUUUUAUUUAUAAAACCCACUAUCUUUCUUAUUCUGUCUUACCUAACCAAACGCUAUUUUUUUUAUUCUCAGGAAUAACCUAAUUUUCAUCCAAACGCAAAAUUGAUUUAACCCCUGCUUAUACCUCAAUUUAUACAUAUUCCUGAAAUAGUCAUUUUUUGUUUAUCCUCGAACCAAACGAUACCUUAGUGUAUAAAACACCUCUUCUACUAAAGAAAACUAACAUCCCCAAUAUUUUAAAAUUUAAUAUAAUACUCACAAACUCUUUACAAUAUAAAUAGUAAAUAAUUAAAUAAAAAUAAAUUUUAAAUAAAUUUUAAGUGUAUUUUGGUAUGGAUAGAUUAGUUUGAUAUAAUGGAGAUGAUCGGUAAAAGAUGGAAAUAAUUCUGCCAUGUGUUUAUAUAUAGUUUGGACAAUAAAAAUGACGGUGAGAGAUGAUAGAAAUAACGGGUUUAAUAGUAAACAUACAUAAAUAUGUUAGGAAAGACUUACUUGGGCCAUUAUGUGACCCGAUUUUGAUAAGUGUAGCCAAAUUUCGAUGUUAGAAACGUAUUGGGUUCGAUUUGUAGUUGAAAGAAUUUUAUAUUACAUGGGUCAAAAAAGAUUAAAAAAAAAAAAAUCCUUGAUUGACUAAAAUCAAAUAAACAAAAAAUUUAUAUAGUAAAAUUAAAAUUUUGAACAGUUGGUAGUCAAAUUAAAAGUGAUCUAUACUUCAAAUAAGUUCUAUAUAUUUUUACGAGAAGAAAAUAAAAAACUAUAGC